GCGAGCUGGCCCAGGCGUACGCCCGGUUCGGCGUGCAGGUGACGGUCAUCGAGGGCUCACCCCGGGUGCUGGCCAUGGAGGAACCGGAGUCGUCCGAGGUGGCGGCCGCCGCCCUGACCGCCGACGGGGUCCGGAUCGUCACCGGGGUGCGCGCGCAGAAGGUCGCCCACGACGACGGGUUCCACGUGACCCUCUCCGACGGCAGCGUGCUGGCCGGCGAGAAGCUGCUGGUCGCGACCGGGCGGGCGGCCCGGCUCGGCGGGCUCGGGCUGGACCGGGUGGGGCUGGACCCGUCGGCUCGAUUCCUGGCCACCGAUGACCGGCUGCGCGCCGGCGAGGGCAUCUGGGCGGUGGGGGACGUGACCGGGAACGGGGCGUUCACCCACAUGGCGAUGUACGAGGCGGACAUCGCGGUGCGGGACAUCCUGGGGCAGGGCGGCCCGGGAGCCGACUACCGGGCGCGGCCGCGGGUGACCUUCCUCGACCCGGAGAUCGGGGCGGUGGGGAUGACCGAGCAGCAGGCCCGGGACGCCGGCCUCGAGGUGCGGGUGGGGUACGUGCCGCUGAACCAGACCUCGCGAGGGUUCAUCCACGGGCCGGGGAACGAGGGAUUCCUCAAACUUGUCGCGGACGGGGAGCGGGGAGUGCUGGUCGGCGGGACGACCGCCGGGCAGUCCGGUGGCGAGAUGAUCGGGGCGGUGGCGGUGGCGGUGCACGCCGAGGUGCCGGUGUCGACGUUGCUCAGCCAGAUCUGGGCGUACCCGACGUUUCAUCGGGGGCUGGGGCAGGCGCUUCAGUCGCUGGCCUGAACUUGCCGGUCGUCUCAUGCGGGCCUGAGGUUGCUGGUUCCCGCCUUCGCUGUGCGGGCCUGAGGUUGCCGGUAUCCCCGCGCCGGCCCGAGUUUGCUCGUUUUCCUGCGCUGACCUGGAACGACGCGGGACACUGGACCCCGAUUUGGAGGCCAGGGAACCAACGGGUAAUGUUUUCCGGGCCGGUAGGGAAACGGGCGAGCGAACUUCUGGGGUCACCCAGCAAGAUCCGCGGCCGUCCUGCCAAAUCCUCUGAUCUUGGGACUACAGCCUCGCUGUGUGCUGAGCUCAGAGCGGCCGUACUAGGUCAGAUCGGCACCAACCGGGAAAAACCGGUUGACAACGCCGAACGGACCGAGUAACGUAGAGCGAGUGCCCCGGGCGCCGGGCCGCGAAAGCGGGUCGGGCGAACUAGCUAGCUAGGGUAGUAGUUUAGUGAUGGGGUGACGCAGGAAGGUAGAUGAUCCCGGCCGGUGGUUGUGCCGGGGUAAGCGUGUAGGCCGUACCGUAGGCAAAUCCGCGGUGCAUGAGGCUGAGACGUGAUGCCGAGCCGUUCUGGUGAAGUCAUUGAUCCUAUGCUGCCGAGAAAAGCCUCUAGCGAUGUUUCGAGCGGCCCGUACCCUAAACCGACACAGGUGGUCAGGUAGAGAAUACCGAGGCGACGGGUGAACUGUGGUUAAGGAACUCGGCAAAUUGCCCCCGUAACUUAGGGAGAAGGGGGGCCGGACGCGUGAAGCCACUUGCUGGUGGAGCGUGGUAUGGCCGCAGAGAGCAGGGGGAAGCGACUGUUUACUAAAAACACAGGUCCAUGCGAAGUCGUAAGACGAUGUAUAUGGACUGACGCCUGCCCGGUGCUGGAACGUUAAGGGGACCUGUUAGCUCUUCGGGGCGAAGCGGAGAACUUAAGCGCCAGUAAACGGCGGUGGUAACUAUAACCAUCCUAAGGUAGCGAAAUUCCUUGUCGGGUAAGUUCCGACCUGCACGAAUGGCGUAACGACUUCCCCACUGUCUCAACCACAGGCCCGGCGAAAUUGCAGUACGAGUAAAGAUGCUCGUUACGCGCGGCAGGACGGAAAGACCCCGGGACCUUUACUAUAGCUUGACAUUGGUAUCUGAAUUCGAUUGUGUAGGAUAGGUGGGAGACUGUGAAGCUCGGACGCCAGUUCGGGUGGAGUCAUUGUUGAAAUACCACUCUGUUGGGUUUGGGUAUCUAACUUGCGGCCCUGAUCGGGUCGAGGGACAGUGUCUGGUGGGUAGUUUAACUGGGGCGGUUGCCUCCUAAAGGGUAACGGAGGCGCCCAAAGGUUCCCUCAGCCUGGUUGGCAAUCAGGUGUUGAGUGUAAGUGCAUAAGGGAGCUUGACUGUGAGACUGACGGGUCGAGCAGGGACGAAAGUCGGGACUAGUGAUCCGGCACUUGCGUGUGGAAGCGGUGUCGCUCAACGGAUAAAAGGUACCCCGGGGAUAACAGGCUGAUCUUCCCCAAGAGUCCAUAUCGACGGGAUGGUUUGGCACCUCGAUGUCGGCUCGUCGCAUCCUGGGGCUGUAGCAGGUCCCAAGGGUUGGGCUGUUCGCCCAUUAAAGCGGUACGCGAGCUGGGUUUAGAACGUCGUGAGACAGUUCGGUCCCUAUCCGCCGUGCGCGUUGGAUACUUGAGAAGGGCUGUCCCUAGUACGAGAGGACCGGGACGGACGAACCUCUGGUGUGCCAGUUGUUCUGCCAAGAGCACGGCUGGUUGGCUACGUUCGGAAGGGAUAACCGCUGAAAGCAUCUAAGCGGGAAGCUCGCUUCGAGAUGAGGUAUCCCACCACCUUGAGUGGGUAAGGCUCCCAGCUAGACUACUGGGUUGAUAGGCCGGAGAUGUAAGCACGGUAACGUGUUGAGUUGACCGGUACUAAUAGGCCGAGGGCUUAACCA
This 2724-nucleotide ribosomal RNA is filed under the name Actinoplanes utahensis. Its description in RNAcentral is "bacterial LSU rRNA". The stretch from base 1090 to 2724 matches the Rfam family "Bacterial large subunit ribosomal RNA". RNAcentral also lists the same sequence under 1 other name. Lineage: Bacteria; Bacillati; Actinomycetota; Actinomycetes; Micromonosporales; Micromonosporaceae. The record is from RNAcentral.